GCAUAGAUUUCUCCUCCAGCCAAGGCAUGUCAUCAUCACUCUCUGCCGCCUGUCAAACAACCACUAAGAGAACUUCAUAUCUAGGGAUCUACAUCAGAAAGACAUCUACCAUAAAUCACUGAUCUUAAGAUUAAUAUUUAUAAACACCAUAAAAAACCCUGUAAAAGACAACUUAGUUAGAACUUAUAGAAAACUACCAAAAUCGUGGCUCAAACCAAAAAAAAAAAAAAAAAAAAAAAAAAAAAAGCUCAAGGCUAUCCUAUGAAAAAAUCAAACUGCUAAAAAACCCUAUAAAAGACAACUUAGUUAGAACUUAUAGAAAACUACCAAAAUCGUGGCUCAAACCAAAAAAAAAAAAAAAAAAAAAAAAAAAAAACGCUCAAGGCUAUCCUAUGAAAAAAUCAAACUGCUAAAAAACCCUGUAAAAGACAACUUAGUUAGAACUUAUAGAAAACUACCAAAAUCGUGGCUAAAACCAAAAAAAAAAAAAAAAAAAAAAAAAACGCUCAAGGCUAUCCUAUGAAAAAUCAAACUGCUAUUCUAGUCUUUGAUAAUCCAAAAAACAAGUAGUCUUUCCAAUCCUAUGGGAAGGGAAAAAAGCAAUUUGUGGAGAAUGGACCUAUAAAAGGCUCUAAUUCACAUACUUCAGCUACUGUAAUGUACUCAAAAGCCAUUGUUAU
Molecule: long non-coding RNA, 680 nt
Filed under: Physcomitrium patens
Lineage: Eukaryota; Viridiplantae; Streptophyta; Bryopsida; Funariales; Funariaceae
Description: long non-coding RNA (PPAT_LNC011004)
Source: RNAcentral